Molecule: ribosomal RNA, 339 nt
Filed under: Armadillidium album
Lineage: Eukaryota; Metazoa; Arthropoda; Malacostraca; Isopoda; Armadillidiidae
Description: 16S ribosomal RNA
Source: RNAcentral
UGUGCUAAGGUAGCAUAAUAAUUAGUUAUUCAAUUGGUAACUAGAAUGAAUGGAUUGACAAAAAAAUAACUUUAUUAAUAAUUUAUUAAAUUAAUAUUAAAGUAAAAAAGCUCUUUUAAUUUAAAAAGACGACAAGACCCUAAAACCUUUUAUAAUAAUAUUUACUGGGGCGGUAAUUUACUAUUGACAUAAAUUUAAAUAACAUAAUGAAUGACUUUCCCUAACUCUAUAAAAUCCAAGCAGGUACUUUAGGGAUAACAGCAUAAUUUCUAUUUAGAGUUCUUAUCGACAUAGAAGAUUAUGACCUCGAUGUUGAAUUAAUAUAACUUCUAUAAGCAG